GAAACAAUUAUGUGAACUUAGCAUGUUUCCUAAAAACCUGCAAACAUAUGGUAUUUGUAUGCUUUAGUACAGUCAAACAAAUUACAUACAGCACCUUUUAAAUUAAAUUUUUCACUAAAUCA
Molecule: long non-coding RNA, 122 nt
Organism: Sinocyclocheilus grahami
Lineage: Eukaryota; Metazoa; Chordata; Actinopteri; Cypriniformes; Cyprinidae
Exons: 3
Source: RefSeq, a predicted model, not a curated record